This 282-nucleotide ribosomal RNA is filed under the name Vibrio parahaemolyticus. RNAcentral's name for it is "partial 16S ribosomal RNA". It matches the Rfam family "Bacterial small subunit ribosomal RNA", at positions 1121 to 1402 of the family's 1533-position model. The record is from RNAcentral. Lineage: Bacteria; Pseudomonadati; Pseudomonadota; Gammaproteobacteria; Vibrionales; Vibrionaceae.
GCGAGUAAUGUCGGGAACUCCAGGGAGACUGCCGGUGAUAAACCGGAGGAAGGUGGGGACGACGUCAAGUCAUCAUGGCCCUUACGAGUAGGGCUACACACGUGCUACAAUGGCGCAUACAGAGGGCAGCCAACUUGCGAAAGUGAGCGAAUCCCAAAAAGUGCGUCGUAGUCCGGAUUGGAGUCUGCAACUCGACUCCAUGAAGUCGGAAUCGCUAGUAAUCGUGGAUCAGAAUGCCACGGUGAAUACGUUCCCGGGCCUUGUACACACCGCCCGUCACAC